Molecule: non-coding RNA, 138 nt
Organism: Gossypium hirsutum (cotton)
Lineage: Eukaryota; Viridiplantae; Streptophyta; Magnoliopsida; Malvales; Malvaceae
Source: Rfam
UGUUAAAAAAAUUAUUUAUUUUUAUUGUUAAUAACUGAUGUGGUUGACGGAAUAACUAAAUAGUUAUAGGUGGCGUGCACCUCACGUUGACGUAUAGGAACUAGUUUUUAACAAUAAAAAUGGAUAAAAUAUUUAACA